AGCGAACGCUGGCGGCAGGCCUAACACAUGCCAGUCGAACGAACUCUUCGGAGUUAGUGGCGGACGGGUGAGUAACACGUGGGAACGUGCCUUUUGGUUCGGAAUAACUCAGGGAAACUUGUGCUAAUACCGAAUGUGCCCUUCGGGGGAAAGAUUUAUCGCCAUUAGAGCGGCCCGCGUCUGAUUAGCUAGUUGGUGAGGUAACGGCUCACCAAGGCGACGAUCAGUAGCUGGCCUGAGAGGAUGACCAGCCACACUGGGACUGAGACACGGCCCAGACUCCUACGGGAGGCAGCAGUGGGGAAUCUUGCGCAAUGGGCGAAAGCCUGACGCAGCCAUGCCGCGUGAAUGAUGAAGGUCUUAGGAUUGUAAAAUUCUUUCACCGGGGACGAUAAUGACGGUACCCGGAGAAGAAGCCCCGGCUAACUUCGUG
Molecule: ribosomal RNA, 433 nt
Filed under: uncultured bacterium
Lineage: Bacteria
Description: partial 16S ribosomal RNA
Rfam family: Bacterial small subunit ribosomal RNA
Source: RNAcentral